This 73-nucleotide transfer RNA is filed under the name Mus musculus (house mouse). RNAcentral describes it as "tRNA-Ala". The record is from RNAcentral. Lineage: Eukaryota; Metazoa; Chordata; Mammalia; Rodentia; Muridae.
UUCAGGGUAUAGCUCAGUGGUAGAUGGCUUGCCUAGCAUGUGUAAGGUCCUGGGUUCAACCCCCAGUGCCAAA